Molecule: transfer RNA, 83 nt
Filed under: Spirochaetae bacterium HGW-Spirochaetae-5
Lineage: Bacteria; Pseudomonadati; Spirochaetota
Description: tRNA-Leu
Rfam family: tRNA
About the family: Transfer RNA (tRNA) molecules are approximately 80 nucleotides in length.
Source: RNAcentral
GCCCAGGUGGUGGAAUUGGUAGACACGCAUGGUUGAGGGCCAUGUGGGAUUUUCUCGUGUGGGUUCAAGUCCCGCUCUGGGCA